This 590-nucleotide ribosomal RNA is filed under the name uncultured bacterium. Its description in RNAcentral is "partial 16S ribosomal RNA". It matches the Rfam family "Bacterial small subunit ribosomal RNA", at positions 355 to 1376 of the family's 1533-position model. The record is from RNAcentral.
UGGGGAAUAUUGGACAAUGGGCGCAAGCCUGAUCCAGCAAUGCCGCGUGUGUGAAGAAGGCCUUCGGGUUGUAAAGCACUUUUAUCAGGAGCGAAACGCUGUCGGCUAAUACCCGGCGGAACUGACGGUACCUGAGGAAUAAGCACCGGCUAACUUCGUGCCAGCAGCCGCGGUAAUACGAAGGGUGCAAGCGUUAAUCGGAAUUACUGGGCGUAAAGCGUGCGUAGGCGGUUUCUUAAGUCUGCUGUGAAAUCCCCGGGCUCAACCUGGGAAUGGCAGUGGAUACUGGGAGGCUAGAGUGUGUCAGAGGGUGGUGGAAUUCCCGGUGUAGCGGUGAAAUGCGUAGAGAUCGGGAGGAACAUCAGUGGCGAAGGCGGCCACCUGGGACAACACUGACGCUGAGGCACGAAAAGCGUGGGGAGCAAACAGGAUUAGAUACCCUGGUAGUCCACGCCCUAAAACGAUGCGAACUGGAUGUUGGUCUCAACUCGGAGAUCAGUGUCGAAGCUAACGCGUUAAGUUCGCCGCCUGGGGAGUACGGUCGCAAGACUGAAACUUAAAUGAAUUGACGGGGUCAUAGCUGUUUCCUG